Molecule: ribosomal RNA, 459 nt
Filed under: uncultured bacterium
Lineage: Bacteria
Description: partial 16S ribosomal RNA
Rfam family: Bacterial small subunit ribosomal RNA
Source: RNAcentral
CCUACGGGAUGCUGCAGUGAGGAAUAUUGGUCAAUGGGCGCGAGCCUGAACCAGCCAAGUCGCGUGAGGGAAGACGGUCCUAUGGAUUGUAAACCUCUUUUGUCGGGGAGCAAAAGACGCCACGCGUGGCGUUCCGAGAGUACCCGAAGAAAAAGCAUCGUCUAACUCCGUGCCAGCAGCCGCGGUAAUACGGAGGAUGCGAGCGUUAUCCGGAUUGAUUGGGUUUAAAGGGUGCGCAGGCGGAAGAUCAAGUCAGCGGUAAAAUUGAGAGGCUCAACCUCUUCGAGCCGUUGAAACUGGUUUUCUUGAGUGAGUGAGAAGUAUGCGGAAUGCGUGGUGUAGCGGUGAAAUGCAUAGAUAUCACGCAGAACUCCGAUUGCGAAGGCAGCAUACCGGCGCUCAACUGACGCUCAUGCACGAAAGUGUGGGUAUCGAACAGGAUUAGAUACCCCUGUAGUC